Molecule: long non-coding RNA, 209 nt
Organism: Homalodisca vitripennis (glassy-winged sharpshooter)
Lineage: Eukaryota; Metazoa; Arthropoda; Insecta; Hemiptera; Cicadellidae
Exons: 2
Source: RefSeq, a predicted model, not a curated record
GAUGUGGAGUGGGGAACGGACUCGACUGUAGCUUGGCUAGAUAGUCAGUGUCUUUUAGUUAUGUGAUGUGUCUUCGUGUCCUGGACAUUUUAAUAUCAGUUGGACGAAUCCACUGCCCAACUUGAAAGGUGUUCCUGGGUUUUCUGAUCACUGAUCACCUUUGUAACAUAACUGGUUGGGUGAGUCAAUAAAAGAUGUUUUAAAAGCUU